CGGUAAUUCCAGCUCCAAUAGCGUAUACUAACGUUGUUGCAGUUAAAAAGCUCGUAGUUGGAUUUCUGUUAGGGUGAGGCGGCCGGCCACUCGUGGUUGUAGCUUGUUAUCACCUUGGCAUCUUGUCACAAUCCGUGAUGGCAUUAACUUGUUGUCGCUGGGGACUGACUCGUUUACUUUGAGAAAAUUAGAGUGUUCAAAGCAGGCUAUCGCCUUGAAUAUAUUAGCAUGGAAUAAUAAUAUAGGACUUUGGUUCUAUUUUGUUGGUUGUUCGAGAACCGAAGUAAUGAUUGAUAGGGACAGUUGGGGGCGUCAGUAUUCUGAAGCGAGAGGUGAAAUUCUUGGACCUUCGGAAGACUAACAACUGCGAAAGCAUUCGCCUAGGAUGUUCUCUUUAAUCAAGAACGAAAGUUGGGGGAUCGAAGACGAUCAGAUACCGUCGUAGUCUCAACUAUAAACUAUGCCAGCUAGGGAUUGGUGGACGUUUUCGUACGACUCCAUCAGCACCUUAUGAGAAAUCAAAGCAUUUGGGUUCCGGGGGGAGUAUGGUCGCAAGGCUGAAACUUAAAGGAAUUGACGGGAGGGCACCACCAGGAGUGGAGCCUGUGGCUUAAUUUGGCUCAACACGGGAAAACUUACCAGGUCCGGACAUAGUAAGGAUUGACAGAUUGAUAGCUCUUUCUUGAUUCUAUGGGUGGUGGUGCAUGGCCGUUCUUAGUUGGUGGAGUGAUUUGUCUGGUUAAUUCUGUUAACGAACGAGACCCCAGCCUGCUAAAUAGUUCGCUCGUGGUUUCCACGGUGCUAACUUCUUAGAGGGACUAUUCUGUGUAUAACGAAUGGAAGUUUGGGGCAAUACCAGGUCUGUGAUGCCCUUAGAUGUUCUGGUCCGCACACGGGCUACACUGCGAGGUUCAACAAGCUUCAUACCCUGGUCCGAUAGGAUUGGGCAAUCUUUUGAACUCCUCGCGCGAUAGGGAUAGACUAUUGCAAUUGUUAGUCUUCAACGAGGAAUUCCUAGUAAACGCGAGUCAUCAACUCGCAUUGAUUACGUCCCUGCCCUUUGUACACACCGCCCGUCGCUCCUACCGAUGAAUGUUCCGAUGAAAUUUUCGGAGAGUGCCUGUGAAGCCGGCUCCGCCUGUCGAACGGGAUGCUCAAAGUCACUUAAAUCUGAACAUUUCGAGGAAGGAGAAGUCGUAACAAGGUAACC
RNAcentral lists this ribosomal RNA (1210 nucleotides) under uncultured Rhizaria. Its description in RNAcentral is "SSU rRNA". It matches the Rfam family "Eukaryotic small subunit ribosomal RNA", at positions 577 to 1804 of the family's 1831-position model. The record is from RNAcentral.